AUACUUACCUGGCAGGGGAGAUACCAUGAUCACGAAGGUGGUUUUCCCAGGGCGAGGCUUAUCCAUUGCACUCUGGAUAUGCUGUCCCCUGCGAUUUCCACAAAUAUGGGAAACUUGACUGCAUAAUUUGUGGUAGUGGGGGACUGCGUUUGCGCUUUCCCCUA
This 164-nucleotide small nuclear RNA is filed under the name Aotus nancymaae (Ma's night monkey). RNAcentral describes it as "U1 spliceosomal RNA (ENSANAG00000019796.1)". It matches the Rfam family "U1 spliceosomal RNA". From Rfam's summary of the family: U1 is a small nuclear RNA (snRNA) component of the spliceosome (involved in pre-mRNA splicing). Its 5' end forms complementary base pairs with the 5' splice junction, thus defining the 5' donor site of an intron. Lineage: Eukaryota; Metazoa; Chordata; Mammalia; Primates; Aotidae. The record is from Rfam by way of RNAcentral.